Camelus dromedarius (Arabian camel) is the source of this 417-nucleotide long non-coding RNA. RefSeq lists it as uncharacterized. NCBI's taxonomy places the organism in Eukaryota, Metazoa, Chordata, Mammalia, Artiodactyla, Camelidae. The record is from RefSeq and is a predicted model, not a curated record. The transcript has 3 exons.
CUGAGUUCUAACUUAGGAUCCCAGGAUACACUCUGUCUGUUCUCCAUAGCCCCAGUGGUUAGGAAAAAGAGACUCUUCUCCCCCUGUAUCCCCCAGUAGCAGAUACGUCCACCAUCAGAUAUCCUCUCAAAUCCACCUGCAAGUCAUUAGUGGAUAUUCCUGUGUCCUGAUGAAUGGUCCAGAGCAAAGAAGAAAUAGAGCAAUCCUGCCCACCUGUUGUUGGAUGAGAUCGGAAACAGCAGGAGCUAAGGAAGGACUGAUGGUUUGGACCUGACCCAGGUGGACAGCUGCAAGAACAAAGAAUUCCUACACCAAGAAGUUUGCAACAACAACAGCCCUUCCCCUCCCCUUUUUUAAGGAGCCCUGUACUCUGACUUGAGGAAGAUAGGUUCUCCAAGACAUUAGUCGGCCAUCCUC